UGGGGUAUCGCCAAGUGGUAAGGCACUGGGUUUUGAUCUCAGCAUUCCAAGGUUCGAAUCCUUGUACCCCAGCCA
RNAcentral lists this transfer RNA (75 nucleotides) under Shewanella sp. RNAcentral describes it as "tRNA-Gln". It matches the Rfam family "tRNA". Rfam says of the family: Transfer RNA (tRNA) molecules are approximately 80 nucleotides in length. Lineage: Bacteria; Pseudomonadati; Pseudomonadota; Gammaproteobacteria; Alteromonadales; Shewanellaceae. The record is from RNAcentral. RNAcentral also lists the same sequence under 21 other names.